CAUUUACUUCAUUCACAGCUUUGGCUGUGCAUGACUUUAGACUAAUUUUAAAAAAAAAUAGAAAUAACCUUCAAAGAUGAGGAUUUUCCAGUGUAGUGAUUCCAUAUUCUCUGAAGGGAAUUCCUACAGCAGAGUUUUGAGAGCAGUGAUGCUAUCAUUAGGUUAAACAUGUAACUUCCCAAGGCUGUUGCUUUGAAGGAACAACACUCAUUCAAAUGUUUAUGUUCUGGUUUGUUUUUUCCAUUCUAAUCUUUCCUCAUAUAGUGGUUAUCUGUCCAUUUCCUUUAGUAUGUUUUCCCCCUACCUACAAGAUUUAAUUUAAACUAUAAUAAACUAAAAAUGAUCACAGUUGAUAACUAUGAUAUCACUUGUUGAUGAAUUCUUUCAUUUAUUUACCAAAUGCUGUUGAGUUCCUGUGCUAACAUUGGGAAUACAGUGAUGAGCCCAAAAAAAGCCCCUCACAGAGUUUACAGCCUAAGUAACUUCAGUCUUCCCAAUCUGGAGUUUAAAAGAAAAUAGCCUGUACCUUUCUUUAGCUCACAUUUAGAAUUUUUACACGUGUCAGAGUCCUUUGUAAUUACUGGAUGUGCAUGAUAUACUUUGUAAAAGGGGAAAGAGAUUCAAAAGAUUGAGUUGUUUACAGUCUGAUUGAGGCCAUGCAGCUUUUUUACAUAUACAAAAAGAGAAAAGAUAUAAAUUCUUGUGAACACCUGAGAUACAACAGAAUACUGAGGAAUUAUAUAAACGACCAUUACAAGGGAGUAAAGUCAAUACUGGAAGUUCGUUUUGGAGGUGGUUGGUUUUAUAGGAAAAGUUUCAGAGCAGAGAUGCUUUCCUGUUGGAUGGCACGGAAGAAUCAGGUAGCGAGAUGGGAACAGGCAAAUUGUGUUACAGGGAGGAGAGUUGCCAGUUUUCCUGAAUCUAAGUAAGGCUAUCCAAAUUGGUUAAUAUUUUGAAUUUCCUUAAUUUCUUUGAGUUUAUUUCUUUGUUUAUAUUUCCUUUAUAUGUUUGAGUCUGUAGUUUUUUGGUUCUCAUAAACACUAGCUGCUAAAAAAACACUUAAAUUUAUCUUUGUCAAAGAUGAUACGUACUUACAUUCAGCAGUGCCUUUUACAAUGAUAAAAUUGUCAUUCAGAGCAACAAGGUAAGUCAAAGGUUAGAUUUCUCUAAUCUUAUAAAUGGGAAAAAUCAAAUCAAUCUUUGAACAGGUCAGUCAUUAAAUUGAAUUUCUUUUUCCCUACUAGGAUCCUCGAUUCAAUGCAGAAGUGGACCAAAUUACAGGCUACAAGACACAAAGUAUUCUUUGUAUGCCAAUAAAGAAUCAUAGGGAAGAGGAAUUUCUUGAUCGAGUUUGCUGCCUGAGUACCGCAGUUCGUGUCCUUGCAUUCGGGCUGGACAAUUGUAUUUGUGCAGAUGCCACGGGGACAGGCUCCUGGGACAGACAGACCAGCCAGCCUGCACCCGCGGGUCCCGGCACACCCCCGUGCAGUGGCCCUCCUUUCUCCUAAGGCUGAACCUGCCGCCGCCUCUGCUACCACCACCACUUGGGGCCCUGCUGCCCCUGGAAACAUCCCCAUCAGCAGCCAAUCUCCUGAACGGCAGGGCUCUGGAAACCUCCCGGGGUUUCCGCCAGGGGAUGCAUUGUCAGCGGCUGCACCUUUCAGCCAGGAGAAGGAGAGCUGAAGUACAGCGCUCCGGAGUCUGAAAAAAGGACUGGGGAGCAGAUGAGAGCCCCAGGGCACCCCGGCUGGUCUCUGGGGACUGGGGCACUAGCCCCUCCUAUGGCAUCUCCUUCAGGAUCUGUGGGUCCCUGAGUUGUGGAAAGCCGCCCAGCCUUCUGAGCUGGGGGCCCGCAGGGUUAGCUCUGGUUGCUCUGGGCACUUGUGGGAGAGCAGGGUCAGAGCGGAGGGCAGGAGUUGGGGGCUGAAUGCUGGUGCCCACCCCAGCACACCCCGCGGUGGGCGAGGCCGCCCCUGCCUCCCUCUCCAAGGAGCAGACCACGAAGUCCGAGAAGCAGAGAGGGGAGAUGGGGAGGGAAUGGCAGUGGGGCUGCAGGGCACGCUCGGGUCAGCACUAACCGCUGGUGUAAAGGGACGAGUGGCCACUUCUGGCGGAACAACAGGCGGCGAUGGAAGGCAGCGCUCAGGACGUCAGCGGGCCUGCGGGGGACGCACUCACCAAGGACCAGCAGCACUUUCCCGCUAGGCGCCCGAUGCGCACUGCAGAGCUCAGGGUCCGGCAGCGCCUCGCAGGCCCGCACCCCGGGCUCUGGCCGCGCCCGAGUACACGUGCGCCUCAGGCCCCGCCCACAGGAGCCCUGGCCACGCCCCUCGCUCAACCACUGCGCGUCCCGUGGACCCUGAUGCGGUGAUCUCAGGAGACCCUCAGCUGCUGCGGUUCCUGGCUGAGUGAGGCCAGGCCCUCAGGCUCCAGCAUGGCCCUGCAAGACCACUGCUGCCCCCCUGCGGCCGUGCAGAGGAGGCUGCCCAUCCUGGCCUGGCUGUUGGACUCUGAAGAUGGACUUCAUCACUGGACUUUCAGUGGGGCUCAAGGUCAUUCCCCACGUGCUGGCCUGUGCUGAGGUGACCUGAUUCCUGCCCCAAGUGAGAUGUCUGCCCCUGCUGCUGGCCACAUCCCCGCCCUGACCCCACACUAGGCCUCAUCGCCUGCCCAGAAGCAGAGUAGAAAUGCACAGUAUCCCCUCCAGACAGCAGGGCACCCAGCGCUCCAGCCCCAUGGGAACCAAGAAGCCUUGGUUUACAGUCUACAGCACGUGACUGCCUUUGGGGAGACACACGCCCUUAUAACUUCUCUUGUCACACUUGUCACACACAGGUAUCAGGGCAGUUCUGGGUUGUGUGAUGGGGCCAGCAGGAUGACUCACAGUAGCUUUAAGCAUUAUUUCUCAGACUCGCAGACUCACACAGAAACACGCAGGUCUUUGUGCUCCCGCAGGUGGCACCUGUGGCCCCCUUGGGUGCGGGUAGAAAAGAGGUCCCCUCAUCACAGCAGGUCACACUCAUGGAUGAUCGAGGGUGAGUGGUUACCCUGGCUGUGUGCGCUGGUGUGCCCAAAGUACACAGUGGACACCGCAGACCCCUGUGCUCAGAUGUCUACACCAGGGGCACCAUGGGUGUGCCGUGUGCCUCCUGGGUGCUCAUCACUCUCUCCCCAACAGUGUGGCUUCUACUCUGCCUUCAUGGGUGCUUCGUGUAGUUCUUCCUGGUCAUCUUCUGGCAUGUUACCCUGAGCCCGCCUGUGCUGUGCUGCUGGCUUUCCUGCGGGCUGCAUGCAGUUAGCCAUGGGGUCCCUGCACUUGGGGAAGACUCUCAGGCCUUCAUUCCAUGGUGGGGGUGGUGUGGUUCUGCUCUUCCCAGAGUACCGAGGCCCCUGCCUCCUGGGGAUGGCCCUGCCCUCAGCAUUUCCUUCUUUGCAUUCCAAGGGCUAUCCCUGUGUGCGUGUAGUAGGGGCAGGGGGACCCUCACCCCUCAGCCCUCCCCUAUUCUGCUGAGAGGCCAGGACACUUGGAGAAGCUCCCAGAGCCUCAGACCCCAACCUCCCUUUCCUGCUCUCCAACCAGCCCAAACAGAGCAUGUCAUUCCAGUCCUCAGCCUCAGUCUUAUCCACACUGCCUUUCCCCGCCAUGUCCACCCAUGUCCUCUGGGACCAGGCAGAGCUCUGACCAACACAGUAUUCCCUCUUGGCUGCCAGGGUUCCUGCUGGACUUCGUCUCCUGUGCCAUCAUUAAAGGUUUCACCUCUGCUGCUACCAUCACCAUGGACUUUGGGCAGAUCCAGGCUGGCCUGUGCAGUCUUCCCUGAUGCAGGGCAGUGAGCAGAUCAAGGCCAGGAGGAGGCAUGUGUGAGAAUCCAGCAGCUGACAUGUCUUCCCUCUCACUCUGUGCUGGGGCUGGAUCCACACUUUCCCUGUGCUUCCUUCUCGCCACACCCCUCGGAGGGAGGUUUAUCAUCAUCUGCAUUUAGAGAGGAGGAAACCCCUUAGAAAGUUGGGUGAAUGCGAUUUAUGUGUUAUGUACACACACGUCAGGGGAAGCUUGGCAAAUGGUCUGUCCUAGGAUAGUCUGUCCUUUAUUCUAGAAACAAUAUCUUUCCUUUUUAGUGUCAGUAAUGUCCCUUGAUGUGAUCAUAAUACGGGUAGAGGGCAGCUUCUUUGUGCAUUCAUUACCUGGCAACCCUAUGCCCACAAUGUCAUUAAAACCUUGACCACAUCAUGACAGCCAUCUGAGAGUCCCUAGGGUGGGGUGGGGUUCUCCUGACUGCCCAGGACAGAAGUGGAGGAGGCGGAGGUAGGAGGUGUCCCCUGGCUAAGUAGCCCAGACUUCCAUGGCACCAGUGCCUCAGUCACCUUGGCCCUGGUGAGCGGUGUCUUCGCCAAGGGGUGCAUACUGUGGUCGGUGAUAGUCAUGUGAACUGAAGGGACACCAAAGGCUGGUAUCAGGAACAGGCACACGCCUGGACAAAUCCAGAAUGUCUUUGUAUUUGUUUUUGUGAACCGUGAACGCACCGUGAAAGGUGCGUUAAAGCCUGAUGAAUUUUAAUAGACACGUGCCCUGAAAUAUCCCGGCACACAGAGCUGAAUUUUCCACAGUUCCUUGUUGCUCUGCCUGCUGGUUGUGCUGCUCUUUGUUCACGUCUCUGAUCUUAUAUAGAGUUUAGGGUCAGACUCAGCUUUGAGAACAGCCUUUU
This is a non-coding RNA of Equus caballus (horse), 4706 nucleotides long. Lineage: Eukaryota; Metazoa; Chordata; Mammalia; Perissodactyla; Equidae. The record is from RefSeq and is a predicted model, not a curated record.